GUAAUAGACUGAUCAGGCACAAAGAAAUUUGCAGCCGGGCUUUUAGAGCAGCAGGAAACACGCCUGCGGGACAGCA
Molecule: non-coding RNA, 76 nt
Filed under: unclassified sequences
Description: NiCo sequence
Rfam family: NiCo (Nickel/Cobalt) riboswitch aptamer
Source: RNAcentral